This 253-nucleotide ribosomal RNA is filed under the name uncultured bacterium. RNAcentral's name for it is "partial 16S ribosomal RNA". It matches the Rfam family "Bacterial small subunit ribosomal RNA", at positions 524 to 776 of the family's 1533-position model. The record is from RNAcentral.
UACGUAGGGUGCAAGCGUUAAUCGGAAUUACUGGGCGUAAAGCGUGCGCAGGCGGUUAUGCAAGACAGAUGUGAAAUCCCCGGGCUUAACCUGGGAACCGCAUUUGUGACUGCAUAGCUGGAGUACGGCAGAGGGGGAUGGAAUUCCGCGUGUAGCAGUGAAAUGCGUAGAUAUGCGGAGGAACACCGAUGGCGAAGGCAGCCCCCUGGGAUGUGACUGACGCUCAUGUACGAAAGCGUGGGGAGCAAACAGG